UUAACUCGGUUUUUCUUGUUUUUUUUUUUUUUUUAGGAAUAAUCAACAAGAUUCUCUCAUUCAGAGGUUGGGUUCCUUUAAGUAGGCUUACAUAUUGUGCUUACCUGUUGAAUCCGUUCCUGAUAAAUUCGACGUACCUUCACAGCGAGUCUGCUGUUCACGUAGAUUUUCUACCAAAUGGUACCUCAUUUCUUGGCAAUUUAGCAAAUACUUAUUUCUGCGCUUACGCUCUUUCACUCAUGCUAGAAACCCCGAAUAUCUUAAUUACGAGAUUGUUCAUUAAUUCUCGAAUGCGAAAGAGAUGAAAUCAAUGAAUUAAAUUAAAAAAAAAGAACCUAGGGAUUGUCCAAUUGUAUAUUUUGUUCGAGAUUUAGAAUAUUUUCUAGCGAUUUAAUGAAGUCUUCCCCAACACGAAAGGCUUUACUUUAAGUAUAUGCGAGACUUCGCUUUUGUGAUCGUGAAAGUCCGCUGUGUAAAAAGUCUCAUUUUACAGAGGAGAUAGCUCCAACGUGACAGUUUUUAUAAUCUUGUUCACAAUACGAUACAUGUAAUUUUGUUUUCCAGUGUAUGUAUAUAUAGAAUAGUCUUUGAAAACUUGUGGAUUCUACGAUAUAAAAUUCUGUAUCCAUUUAAGACUA
Long non-coding RNA from Orussus abietinus, 638 nucleotides. RefSeq lists it as uncharacterized. NCBI's taxonomy places the organism in Eukaryota, Metazoa, Arthropoda, Insecta, Hymenoptera, Orussidae. The transcript has 2 exons. The record is from RefSeq and is a predicted model, not a curated record.